GAGGUUGGCGACCCGGUCAAAAUGGUCAAGCCAGUCGUCGGCGUCCUCUGAAGCACUCCCGUGGAACGGAUUCGGCGUCCGGGUCUGAUUGACAACCACGUGCGAUGCUGCAGUAGCAGCAGGAGGAGGUUGGUUCGUCAUUCUACUUCGUUCGGGUAGCAGACCGUGCUGUGGCUGGAGUCCCUGGAGACGUCGGCUGGUACGUACGUGCACAGGGGUAAGCUCGGCCGAACUGCUCGCCGGGCUUAGGUCUGGGGUACGCUCCGGAGACCUUAACAUCGACCGUACCCCACACCUCCACCAGAAAUGUCACCCAGCUAGUACAGCUAGAAUAGAUGACCAGCAACAGAUAGGCAAAAACACGUCAGCCUUUAGUAAUGGCUGGACCUCGGAGAGCGCGCACGCAACCACGAACUUCGUCGUUCUUGCCUCAAGGGCCCAGUGUCAAUAUUAAAAUUUAAAAAAAAAGCUAAAAUUAAAUUCUGGAGCUUUAUGUGCCAAGACCAUGAUUUGAUUAUCAGGCACACCAUAGUGAGAGACCCCGGAUUAAUUUUGACCACUUGGGGUUCUUUAAUGUGCACCCAAUGCACGGUACAUAAGCAUUUUUGCAUUUCACCCCCAUUUGCUCGCAGGUUUUGCUCGCAUGCGCUGUUCGGUUUCUUACAACACCACCAGAUGGUGCUCGCCUCCUCAGCUUUAGGUUUUUCUCGCAUGCACUGCUGGGUUUCUUGCAACACCACCAGAUGGCACUAGCCUCCUGGGCUUUAGGUUUUGCACGCAUGCGCUGCUGGGUUUCUUACAACACCCACCAGAUGGCGCUCGCUUCCUGGGCUUUAGGUUUUGCACGCAUGCACUGCUGGGUUUCUUACAACACCACCAGAUUGUGCUCGCCUCCUGGGCUUUAGGUUUUGCACGCAUGCGCUGCUGGGUUUCUUACAACACCCACCAGAUGGCGCUCGCUUCCUGGGCUUUAGGUUUUGCACGCAUGCACUGCUGGGUUUCUUACAACACCCACCAGAAGGCACUCACUUCCUGGGCUUUAGGUUUUGCAGGCAUGCACUGUUGGGUUUCUUACAGCACCCACUAGAUGGUGCUCGCUUCCUGGGCUUUAGGUUUUGCACGCAUGCACUGCUGGGUUUCUUGCAACACCACCAGAUUGUGCUCGCCUCCUGGGCUUUAAGAACGGAGGCAUACAAAAAAAUGUGGGCAGUUUGCUCUAGUAGUGCAAGGCUGGGUGACAGCGGAGCUAGUUCAGGUUUGGCAACUCCCAUGGAUUUGCAGGCUUGGCAUUGGAAGUUCUCAGUGACGCGCAGGCCUGGAACCGAUUCCCGGCAGCACCGAGCAUUCAGUCGGCAACGUUUGUUGUCUCUGGCCCGAAACUCGGGAUCCUCGGCUCGGUGACGGAGUUUGUCAGUGGCGACCUCGGCGCGAUGGGCAGGAUCGGCUCUCCUUCGUCGAUUGUAGUCCCGCUGAGCCGCACGCCGAGCUUCCUUGUAGGUGGCUUCUUCCUCGGGAGUCUUGCCUUUCUUCAGUCGCCCCAUGGUAGCUG
Molecule: long non-coding RNA, 1549 nt
Organism: Dermacentor silvarum
Lineage: Eukaryota; Metazoa; Arthropoda; Arachnida; Ixodida; Ixodidae
Exons: 3
Source: RefSeq, a predicted model, not a curated record